UGCUAGUCGCACGAGCUCAGACUCGUGGCGAAUAGCUCAGUAACACGUGGCCAAACUACCCUUCGGAACACAAUACCCUCGGGAAACUGAGGCUAAUAGUGUAUACCACAUCACACCUGGAAUGAGUGAUGUGUCAAACGCUCCGGCGCCGGAGGAUGUGGCUGCGGCCGAUUAGGUAGACGGUGGGGUAACGGCCCACCGUGCCAAUAAUCGGUACGGGUCAUGAGAGUGAGAACCCGGAGACGGAAUCUGAGACAAGAUUCCGGGCCCUACGGGGCGCAGCAGGCGCGAAACCUUUACACUGCACACCAGUGCGAUAAGGGAAUCCCAAGUGCGUAGGCAUAGAGCCUACGCUUUUGGCCACCGUAGGGAGGUGGACGAAUAAGGGCUGGGCAAGACCGGUGCCAGCCGCCGCGGUAAUACCGGCAGCCCGAGUGAUGGCCGAUCUUAUUGGGCCUAAAGCGUCCGUAGCUGGCCGCGCAAGUCCAUCGGAAAAUCCACCCGCUCAACGGGUGGGCGUCCGGUGGAAACUGCGUGGCUUGGGACCGGAAGGCGCGACGGGUACGUCCGGGGUAGGAGUGAAAUCCCGUAAUCCUGGACGGACCGCCGAUGGCGAAAGCACGUCGCGAGGACGGAUCUGACAGUGAGGGACGAAAGCCAGGGUCUCGAACCGGAUUAGAUACCCGGGUAGUCCUGGCUGUAAACAAUGUCUGUUAGGUGUGGCUCCCACUACGAGUGGGUGCUGUGCCGUA
This 752-nucleotide ribosomal RNA is filed under the name uncultured archaeon. Its description in RNAcentral is "bacterial SSU rRNA". It matches the Rfam family "Archaeal small subunit ribosomal RNA", at positions 52 to 805 of the family's 1478-position model. The record is from RNAcentral.